CUACGGCUGCCAGGGCUGCUGCAGCUUCAAGUGUCUCAACAGCGGCCUCCUCUUUGCCAGCCGCUACCCCAUCAUGGACGUGGCCUAUCACUGUUACCCCAACAAGUGUAACGACGAUGCCCUGGCCUCUAAGGGAGCUCUGUUUCUCAAGUCUUUGCCCGCCAGGACUCAAAGGCACAGCCUCUCGUGUGAUUGCUUGUUUUUGCAAGAGAAACACAAGGCUCUGCGGCUCCCAAGGCCACGAGCCAGGAAUCAAUGAGGCCCAGCAAAUAAUCAAGUGGAUCUUGGUGAGAUCACACGGCAGAUGAGGAGGGAGAAGCAGGGCAGGAGGGAGCAGGACCUCGUCACUCCUCCGGCCAGUGGGUUCUUGUCGUGCAGGGCCCAGUCUGAGGCCUCCCUGCGAGUGUCCAACCCUGUCCGGGACACAGCACGGGGCAGGUGACACCAAGUGUUGGAUGAGUGAGAGGCUGACGCCUUAAGACCAACAAACAGGCGGCCGGGGAGAAACCGCAAAGACACCAGCCCCUCAGAAAGCAGCGCAGAGCA
RNAcentral lists this small RNA (546 nucleotides) under Pan troglodytes (chimpanzee). RNAcentral describes it as "processed transcript". Lineage: Eukaryota; Metazoa; Chordata; Mammalia; Primates; Hominidae. The record is from RNAcentral.